GUUUGAGGAAAUACUGAAGUUUCCCGUCCUGAGUUACAAGAGGCAAGAGAGAUUCUGCAAAACAUUGUCUCUCGAAAGAUCUACAAGUUUGUUGGUGAGACAAAGCCAAAGAAGACCAUCAAGGAUUGGAAAAGCCGGAUUUCUGGCUGGAAAGAAGAAUUGGCUCAACCCCUCCCUGACGAGGAAGAAAACAACCUGAAACCAGAGGACUUUGAAAUCCUGGUCAUUAACAUGGACUACGGCAUGAAAGAUGAGAACCCUGUUGAACAUAUGCAUUUCUACAGCAAGAAGGAGCCUGACGUGGCAAUGCCAAUGUCCCCUGAAAAUGCAUCCAGGAUUAGAACAGAGAUCUUUUCUGAGCAGCUGAUCAGGGUCUUCUGUAAGAAGAUUGAUGAACAGAGUGUGGAGGCUGCCAGACAGCACUUUGAACAGUGGUUAAGGAUGGAGCCAAAUCUGCUUGGACCUGAGGGUAAUUAGAGCGAUCCUCCUGAAGUUGACACCAAGGAACUUACCAAACAACAUGAAUAACACUGAAUAAUAUUCGCAUUCAGACCUAGCACUCGUGUUUUUUCUCUCGCUUUUAUCAUAUACAUGCUGUAUCAUUCUUUUAAAUUGAUUGUUUAAAAAUCAGUUCCAACAACACACAACAUGUUUUUAUUCUGAGGACAAAGAUAAAUCAUAAUAUAUGAUACCACUCUGUACAAUUACGGGGCCUGCAGUCAAUAUGAAACAGUAUCAUUGGCCCAUUUAAUUCACUGUGUUACGCUUCUAUCGACUCACACAGAAAACCCAUUCAAAAUUUGAUACAGAAAAAAUUGGAUACUUUUUUUUAACAUUAAGGAAAAUAUAUAUCAGUUAUAAAGCCAUAUCUCAAAGAUCACUGGAUCUGGAUCGCUUCUGGAUUUGAAUUUCUGAUCUCUAAACUGAUACAUAGACACACAUGACACUGGAUACUUACACAGCUAGCAGCUGUAUGGCUGUUGAAUACCAUUUAGGUAAAAAAAGCCAUUAUUGAAAUCCAACAAUCAUUGUCUCAAACUGAAUAUAUAAACUGCAUGUUUCUGAAUUGAUUCAGCUUUUGGUCACAUUUAUGCUUCUUUGUAGGUUGUGAAUUCUUUUUGGUCGGGGAACGAUGUAAAGCACUCCCAACAUGUGUAAUGGAGUGAAUAUUUCACUUGUGGUUUUAUUUAGGGAUUUAUAAUACUCAGUGGUGUUUUAGUUUUGAUGUUAAUCGUUUGAAGAUUGAGGACAUGAGAUUAGAUUAUUUGUCUUUGAGUGGUGUUUAAUGAGAGAUGAUCAUGAGUGAUGUUUUGGUGACUGGUAUUAUCUUAUAUUAUAUUACUUUGUAUCUGCAGCAUUUAUUAUCACAAUACAAUUUUAACCUGUUUUAAAAUGAGUCUUAUUUUGGGCAUGUUUUAUAAUGUGCUCUUCUUUUGAGUUUAUGAUUCUUACUUUAAAAACUGGAACUUGUGAAAACCUUUAUUUGCAUCUAAAAACUUGAAAUUCGAAUUAAACAAUACAUUUUUAAAUGUAUCCAUCAACUACCUUUCUUCAAUGGAUGAUGAAUGUGUUUAAAUGUAUGACACACUUUAAGUGAAGCUAUAAUUGUUUGACGAUUGGUUCUUACAUAAUGCAUCUAUGAGAACCUUUCAAGUGUAUUCCUGUUGUGAUGGGUUCAUAUCUGAUAAAAUCUGCAUGUAUUCAAAAUAAACAUCAGAGAAAAUCCUGAGUUCAA
Labrus bergylta (ballan wrasse) is the source of this 1735-nucleotide non-coding RNA. NCBI's taxonomy places the organism in Eukaryota, Metazoa, Chordata, Actinopteri, Labriformes, Labridae. The record is from RefSeq and is a predicted model, not a curated record.